CCCCGGGUGGUGCAAAUGGUUAACACAUUCGGUUGCUAACUGAAAGGCUGGAGGUUUAAAAUCUACCCAGAGGU
RNAcentral lists this transfer RNA (74 nucleotides) under Loxodonta africana (African savanna elephant). It matches the Rfam family "tRNA". From Rfam's summary of the family: Transfer RNA (tRNA) molecules are approximately 80 nucleotides in length. Lineage: Eukaryota; Metazoa; Chordata; Mammalia; Proboscidea; Elephantidae. The record is from Rfam by way of RNAcentral.